This 587-nucleotide ribosomal RNA is filed under the name uncultured Actinomycetes bacterium. RNAcentral's name for it is "bacterial SSU rRNA". It matches the Rfam family "Bacterial small subunit ribosomal RNA", at positions 224 to 823 of the family's 1533-position model. Lineage: Bacteria; Bacillati; Actinomycetota; Actinomycetes. The record is from RNAcentral.
GAUCGGCCCGCGUCUGAUUAGCUAGUUGGCGGGGUAAUGGCUCACCAAGGCAUUGACGGGUAGCCGGCCUGAGAGGGUGACCGGCCACACUGGGACUGAGACACGGCCCAGACUCCUACGGGAGGCAGCAGUGGGGAAUAUUGGACAAUGGGCGAAAGCCUGAUCCAGCAACGCCGCGUGAGGGAUGACGGCCUUCGGGUUGUAAACCUCUUUCAGCAGGGACGAAGCGAAAGUGACGGUACCUGCAGAAGAAGGACCGGCCAACUACGUGCCAGCAGCCGCGGUAAUACGUAGGGUCCGAGCGUUGUCCGGAAUUAUUGGGCGUAAAGGGCUCGUAGGCGGUUUGUCGCGUCGGGAGUGAAAACUCAGGGCUCAACCCUGAGCGUGCUUCCGAUACGGGCAGACUAGAGGUAUGCAGGGGAGAACGGAAUUCCUGGUGUAGCGGUGGAAUGCGCAGAUAUCAGGAGGAACACCGGUGGCGAAGGCGGUUCUCUGGGCAUUACCUGACGCUGAGGAGCGAAAGCAUGGGGAGCGAACAGGAUUAGAUACCCUGGUAGUCCAUGCCGUAAACGUUGGGCGCUAGGUGU